This is a non-coding RNA of Ictidomys tridecemlineatus (thirteen-lined ground squirrel), 468 nucleotides long. Lineage: Eukaryota; Metazoa; Chordata; Mammalia; Rodentia; Sciuridae. The record is from RefSeq and is a predicted model, not a curated record.
AGGCAAAGGCAGGCAGGCAAGGAAGGCCUUUUAUCAAGAAGUUGAGGCUGGUCCAGUGUGGAACAGAGAUAUCGCAGGUGUGACCGAAUGAAGCAUCAUGAGAUGGAGAGAUUAUCCUGGAUCACUCGUGGGCCCACUUUGAAAGGAAGGCAGAAGGGCAAAUCAAGGAGCAGGUGAUGUAUCAGAAGGACAGAUUAGAGUGAGGAGUUUUGAAGAUGGAGGAAAGGGCCAUCAAUCAAGGAGUACAGGGGGCCACUGAGAGCUCAGAAAGCAAGGCAUCAGAAGGCCCCAGCCCUGCCAAAAGCUUAACUUGAGCCCAGGGGAGCUAAUUUUUUGCCUCUGCCCUGAACUAUAAGAAAACAAGUGGUGCUGUGUUAAGCCACUCAGUUUGUGAUGGUUUGUUACAGCAGCCACAGGAAACUCAUAAUUCAGUCAUUGAUAAAUAAAACUCUCCAUGCUGUUUUCUCA